RNAcentral lists this ribosomal RNA (424 nucleotides) under Verrucomicrobiota bacterium. RNAcentral describes it as "Verrucomicrobia bacterium partial 16S ribosomal RNA". It matches the Rfam family "Bacterial small subunit ribosomal RNA", at positions 355 to 776 of the family's 1533-position model. Lineage: Bacteria; Pseudomonadati; Verrucomicrobiota. The record is from RNAcentral.
UGAGGAAUAGUGGUCAAUGGGCGAGAGCCUGAACCAGCCAAGUAGCGUGCAGGAUGACGGCCCUAUGGGUUGUAAACUGCUUUUAUGUGGGGAUAAAGUGCGUGACGUGUCAUGCAUUGCAGGUACCACAUGAAUAAGGACCGGCUAAUUCCGUGCCAGCAGCCGCGGUAAUACGGAAGGUCCGGGCGUUAUCCGGAUUUAUUGGGUUUAAAGGGAGCGUAGGCUGUCUAUUAAGCGUGUUGUGAAAUUUACCGGCUCAACCGGUGGCUUGCAGCGCGAACUGGUCGACUUGAGUAUGCAGGAAGUAGGCGGAAUUCAUGGUGUAGCGGUGAAAUGCUUAGAUAUCAUGACGAACUCCGAUUGCGCAGGCAGCUUACUGUAGCAUAACUGACGCUGAUGCUCGAAAGUGCGGGUAUCAAACAGG